CACUAACACGUGGCUGUUGACACAUUACACACAAUAUACUUAAAAUACCUGGGGCAAUUUACACUUCUGGUUUAUUGUCCCUUUAACCAGCCAGUGUAUCUGUGUAUGAUGUAUUUAUCUACCGUGCAAGGGUUGUGUAGCCAGUCAAGGUCGUUAAAUGUAUCUCUAGCUCCAUUGACAGACUCCCAUAAUAAUAUAUUCGAAAGCGGAUCCCGGAUUUUGAAAAAAAAGAAUGUGGAAGGACGUAAAGACAACAUUACAAAUUGGACUAGUGUACAUGCAACAUUCAAUCUAUUUCUUGUGUGACAGUUUACUGACUGUCAAACCCGUGUUCAAUUUAUUAUUUUGAUAUGGUUCCAUCAUUCGAAAAUAAGUUAUUAAAAUCUCAGUAGGCUAAAAAAAACUACUGGAUUUUACCCACAGAGUGCAACAAACACAGGUCACGGAAAUGGUCUCUACUACUUCAAACUUUGGCAAUCUAAAAUAAAAUCUAAUCAGUCAAUUUCACAGUAUCACAAUUUCAUGUAACAGAAGAAGAUAGUGCCUUGAAGAUAGCUGAGUAAAAUAAAUAUUUUUUUAAACAAGAUAUAUGUAGGGAGCUCUAUUUUUAACCAACCCGCGCAUGAACAGAUUCAUUUUUCUUGUAUUUACUUCCUGAAUGACACGACUCUAGAAAUGUUUGCCACUGGAC
This 691-nucleotide long non-coding RNA is filed under the name Mytilus galloprovincialis (Mediterranean mussel). The record is from RNAcentral. Lineage: Eukaryota; Metazoa; Mollusca; Bivalvia; Mytilida; Mytilidae.